UACGUAGGGAGCGAGCGUUGUCCGGAUUCAUUGGGCGUAAAGAGCUCGUAGGCGGCUUGAUAAGUCGGAUGUGAAACCUCCAGGCUCAACCUGGAGUCGCCAUCCGAUACUGUCAUGGCUAGAGUCCGGUAGGGGCCCACGGAACUCCUGGUGUAGCGGUGAAAUGCGCAGAUAUCGUAAGGAAGACCAGUGGCGAAGGCGGGUCUCUGGACAGUUCCUGACGCUGAGGCACGAAGGCCAGGGGAGCAAACGGG
This 254-nucleotide ribosomal RNA is filed under the name uncultured bacterium. RNAcentral's name for it is "partial 16S ribosomal RNA". It matches the Rfam family "Bacterial small subunit ribosomal RNA", at positions 524 to 776 of the family's 1533-position model. The record is from RNAcentral.